CAGUGCAGUCACCCAUAAAGUAGAAAGCACUACUAACAGCACUGGAGGGUGUAGUGUUUCCUACUUUAUGGAUGAGUGCACUGU
Non-coding RNA from Mus musculus (house mouse), 84 nucleotides. NCBI's taxonomy places the organism in Eukaryota, Metazoa, Chordata, Mammalia, Rodentia, Muridae. The record is from Rfam.